AUGAAUCUUUCCUCUGUAUUUGAUGUGGUUUGUCUAAAGGUCUCGGACAUGGAGAGGGUGAUGGAGGGUCUCCAGAAUCAUGCAGCAGUGGUGCUCAAACCACAUGCUUUGCAGUCAAGUUCUGCCACUUCUCAUGCCUCAGGACAGCCGAGUUACGAUCAUAUCUGGAAGGAAGUCUAUGCCUUCACUGAGCAUCACCAGGAACUAAGUACUGAGGAUGAUCACACAGCUGUGGCUCACGGUGAGGAGGAUGUAGAAAACACCAGCUCCAGUAAGCCCCCAGGAUCCUACAGAAAGAGGAGCGAAAGAGGGUAUAGUUAUAUGAGCACCUUGCAGCUGCUAGGAUUGGAAGAAGGAACAACAAUUGCCAACAAGGAGCAUGUGGUGACAAGAGGAACCUACCUGUCCUUUCUUCUCCUACGUCACCUGAGGCUCCGAGAGCUAAAGCGAGUAUGCCUGGGGAUCCUGAACUAUUUCAGGUCUGUGGAGAGAAGCCUGACCAUCAGUACCUCAGGCCUCUCAUUCAAGGCUGGUCAUCUAAUUCCCAGCGCAGAAGACACCUCCUGGGUCAAUGCUGCCAAAGGAGGCACUGGUGUUUCUGGUGGUCUGCGCUCUCAACCCUAUAUUCACUACACGCCAGCUGACUACAAGGUGCAUAGCGCUCAGUUCAUGGAGUUUGCAGAGGUGGAAAACCAUGAUGACUUUCACACUCGUGAAGAUGGGUAUAUUCACACACAGGACCAGAGAGGGGCUUACAUCAUAUAUGACGUGGCUUUAGAGGAUCUGAAGGAGCUUGAGAACCAGAUGCUGCUUGUGGCCAGUCAGUACAUUGAGAAAGAUAAAAGUAAGAUAUCACAAGUGUUUUGGACCUGUAGCUAA
RNAcentral lists this long non-coding RNA (879 nucleotides) under Anser cygnoides (Swan goose). RNAcentral's name for it is "lncRNA (ENSACDG00005004685.1)". The record is from RNAcentral. Lineage: Eukaryota; Metazoa; Chordata; Aves; Anseriformes; Anatidae.